This 387-nucleotide unclassified non-coding RNA is filed under the name soil metagenome. RNAcentral's name for it is "partial contains 5.8S ribosomal RNA, internal transcribed spacer 2, and large subunit ribosomal RNA". The stretch from base 1 to 120 matches the Rfam family "5.8S ribosomal RNA", at positions 35 to 154 of the family's 154-position model. The record is from RNAcentral.
GAUGAAGAACGUAGCGAAAUGCGAUAAGUAAUGUGAAUUGCAGAAUUCAGUGAAUCAUCGAAUCUUUGAACGCACCUUGCACCCUUUGGUAUUCCGAAGGGUAUGCUCGUUUGAGUGUCAUUGUACUCUCACACUUCUAAUUCCUUUCGGGAUUGGGAGCGGUGGACUUGGGUGUUGCUGCUUUAGUUGUGGCUCACCUCAAAUAAGUUAGUGCAACUCUUGGUUGGACAUAGUACGGCGUGAUAAGUGUCUUCGCCGGCGCCUCUGUAAGGAGGGUGGCCGAUCGGGAGCUCUGUGCUUCAAACCGUCUUCGGACAAUCUUUGACAACUUGACCUCAAAUCGAGUAGGACUACCCGCUGAACUUAAGGAUAUCAAUAAGCGGAGGA